RNA transcript from Pan troglodytes (chimpanzee), 2142 nucleotides. It is a transcript of the gene named solute carrier family 26 member 10, with no coding region annotated. The transcript has 17 exons. The record is from RefSeq and is marked validated. Lineage: Eukaryota; Metazoa; Chordata; Mammalia; Primates; Hominidae.
AGCGGGCGGAGGAGUAUUUAAGACCGGGCGGAGUUGGAGGUGGCCAAGGGCAGAAUGAGCGGGAUUCAGGGCACCAGGACCUACCCAGGCGCGGGGGACACCUCUGACCUUAAGUACCCCUUGGCAACCAGGCUCAGGGAAGCUCUCACCGAGGCUCGGUUCCAUCAGCUCUUCAGGGGCGAAGAGCAGGAACCGGAGCUACCUGAAGAGCGCGGCUUUCCCCGGCUCUUCGGGCUGUGGAGGCUGCGGGCUCGCGCUUGUUCCGGGACGGGGGCGUGGCGCCUGCUGCUGGCUCGGCUGCCCGCGCUGCACUGGCUGCCCCAUUACCGCUGGCGGGCCUGGCUGCUCGGAGAUGCGGUGGCCGGAGUGACCGUGGGCAUCGUGCACGUGCCCCAGGGCAUGGCUUUUGCUCUCCUGGCCUCCUUGCCCCCGGUGUUUAGACUCUACACUUCUUUCUUCCCCGUCCUCAUCUACAGCUUGCUAGGUACUGGGAGACACCUGUCCACAGGAACUUUCGCCAUACUCAGCCUCAUGACAGGCUCGGCCGUCGAGCGGCUGGUGCCGGAACCCCUCGUGGGGAAUCUGAGCGGAAUCCAGAAGGAGCAGCUGGACGCUUAGCGGGUUGGGGUAGCCGCGGCCGUGGCCUUCGGGAGCGGGGCGUUGAUGCUGGGGAUGUUCGUGCUGCAGCUCGGCGUCUUGUCCACCUUUUUGUCCGAGCCUGUGGUCAAGGCGCUGACCAGCGGGGCCGCGCUGCACGUGCUCUUGUCCCAGCUGCCGAGCCUCUUGGGGUUGUCCCUCUCGCGCCAGAUCGGCUGCUUCUCUCUCUUCAAGACGCUGGCCUCCUUGCUGACUGCGCUGCCUUGGAGCAGUCCGGCCGAACUGACCAUCUCCGUGCUCAGCCUGGCGCUGCUCGUGCCGGUCAAGGAAUUGAACGUGAGAUUCCGAGACCGGCUGGCUACCCACGCCGAUCCCGGGGGAAGUCGUCUUGGUGCUUCUGGCCUCCGUGCUCUGCUUCACCUCUUCUGUGGACACAAGAUACCAAGUCCAGAUAGUGGGGCUGUUGCCUGGAGGAUUUCCCCAACCCCUCCUCCCCAACCUGGCUGAGCUGCCCAGGAUUCUGGCUGACUCGCUGCCCAUUGCACUGGUUACUUUUGCGGUGUCUGCCUCCCUGGCCUCCAUCUAUGCAGACAAGUAUAGCUACACUAUUGACUCCAACCAGGAGCUCCUGGCACAUGGUGCCUCCAACCUCAUCUCCUCCCUCUUCUCUUGCUUUUCCAACUCGGCUACACUGGCCACCACCAAUCUACUGGUGGAUGCUGGUGGGAAAACACAGGGUAACCCAACAGUGGCUUUUAAGGUGGAGGUGGGCUGCAAAACUGGGGAACUUGAACAACGGACAUCUACAAGGAGACUGCUGGCAGGCCUCUUCUCCUGCACAGUGGUCCUGUCGGUGCUGCUGUGGCUGGGGCCCUUCUUUUACUAUCUGCCCAAGGCUGUCCUGGCUUGCAUCAACAUCUCCAGCAUGCGCCAGGUGUUCUGCCAGAUGCAGGAACUUCCACAACUAUGGCACAUCAGCCGAGUGGACUUUCUCCUCCAGGUCCCGGGGCUCUGCAUCCUGAGCUAUCCAACACCACUGUACUUUGGGACCCGUGGGCAGUUUCGCCGCAACCUGGAGUGGCACCUGGGGCUCGGAGAAGGAGAAAAGGAGACUUCAAAGCCAGAUGGCCCAAUGGUUGCAGUUGCUGAGCCUGUCAGGGUGGUGGUCCUAGACUUCAGUGGUGUCACCUUUGCAGAUGCUGCUGGGGCCAGAGAAGUGGUGCAGCUGGCCAGCCGAUGUCGAGAUGCUAGGAUCCGCCUCCUCCUGGCUCAGUGUAAUGCCUUGGUGCAGGGGACACUGACCCGGGCAGGACUCCUGGACAGGGUGACCCCAGAUCAGCUGUUUGUGAGUGUGCAGGAUGCAGCUGCUUAUGCCCUGGGGAGCCUGGGGCUCACUGACCCAAAGAUUUGCACCGUGUGGGUCUGACCUCAUCAUGUGGAGUGCAGAGGGCCCUGAUGACAUGUGUGUGAUGAGGACCAUGACCCUUGAACCCCCUUACCUAACGUAACUAAUAAAAUGAAGCUGAGAGCUUUGGAAUCCAUAAA